AGGGAAAUUUUUGCGUGCCAAUCAGCUCAUUGUGCCAUGAGUUGACUCAUGAGUCGACUCAUGCACUUCAAACAUUCAUAACUUCAAAAAUAUAAGUCCAAAAAUAAUGAAAUUUUCAUCAAUAGAUUACAAAUCAUUUGUUCUACCAAAUGAUACUAUCAAAUCAGGAUUUUAGUAAAAUUAUGAUUUUGCCCCUGAAGAGCAUAAAGACUUUUUCAAUUUAAAAAUAUUUGUAUCCCUUCAAUCUGCUUUGUAAUCAUCAAAAUCAAUCUAGGAGCA
RNAcentral lists this long non-coding RNA (279 nucleotides) under Elaeis guineensis (African oil palm). Its description in RNAcentral is "long non-coding RNA (EGUI_LNC075394)". The record is from RNAcentral. Lineage: Eukaryota; Viridiplantae; Streptophyta; Magnoliopsida; Arecales; Arecaceae.